GUACACAAAAAUGCACAUACUGUGAGCUCGAUGAGUAGGGCGGGACACGUGGUAUCCUGUCUGAAUAUGGGGGGACCAUCCUCCAAGGCUAAAUACUCCUGACUGACCGAUAGUGAACCAGUACCGUGAGGGAAAGGCGAAAAGAACCCCGGCGAGGGGAGUGAAAAAGAACCUGAAACCGUGUACGUACAAGCAGUGGGAGCCUCUUUUAUGGGGUGACUGCGUACCUUUUGUAUAAUGGGUCAGCGACUUAUAUUCUGUAGCAAGGUUAACCGAAUAGGGGAGCCGAAGGGAAACCGAGUCUUAACUGGGCGUUAAGUUGCAGGGUAUAGACCCGAAACCCGGUGAUCUAGCCAUGGGCAGGUUGAAGGUUGGGUAACACUAACUGGAGGACCGAACCGACUAAUGUUGAAAAAUUAGCGGAUGACUUGUGGCUGGGGGUGAAAGGCCAAUCAAACCGGGAGAUAGCUGGUUCUCCCCGAAAGCUAUUUAGGUAGCGCCUCGUGAAUUCAUCUCCGGGGGUAGAGCACUGUUUCGGCAAGGGGGUCAUCCCGACUUACCAACCCGAUGCAAACUGCGAAUACCGGAGAAUGUUAUCACGGGAGACACACGGCGGGUGCUAACGUCCGUCGUGAAGAGGGAAACAACCCAGACCGCCAGCUAAGGUCCCAAAGUCAUGGUUAAGUGGGAAACGAUGUGGGAAGGCCCAGACAGCCAGGAUGUUGGCUUAGAAGCAGCCAUCAUUUAAAGAAAGCGUAAUAGCUCACUGGUCGAGUCGGCCUGCGCGGAAGAUGUAACGGGGCUAAACCAUGCACCGAAGCUGCGGCAGCGACGCUUAUGCGUUGUUGGGUAGGGGAGCGUUCUGUAAGCCUGCGAAGGUGUGCUGUGAGGCAUGCUGGAGGUAUCAGAAGUGCGAAUGCUGACAUAAGUAACGAUAAAGCGGGUGAAAAGCCCGCUCGCCGGAAGACCAAGGGUUCCUGUCCAACGUUAAUCGGGGCAGGGUGAGUCGACCCCUAAGGCGAGGCCGAAAGGCGUAGUCGAUGGGAAACAGGUUAAUAUUCCUGUACUUGGUGUUACUGCGAAGGGGGGACGGAGAAGGCUAUGUUGGCCGGGCGACGGUUGUCCCGGUUUAAGCGUGUAGGCUGGUUUUCCAGGCAAAUCCGGAAAAUCAAGGCUGAGGCGUGAUGACGAGGCACUACGGUGCUGAAGCAACAAAUGCCCUGCUUCCAGGAAAAGCCUCUAAGCAUCAGGUAACAUCAAAUCGUACCCCAAACCGACACAGGUGGUCAGGUAGAGAAUACCAAGGCGCUUGAGAGAACUCGGGUGAAGGAACUAGGCAAAAUGGUGCCGUAACUUCGGGAGAAGGCACGCUGAUAUGUAGGUGAAGCGACUUGCUCGUGGAGCUGAAAUCAGUCGAAGAUACCAGCUGGCUGCAACUGUUUAUUAAAAACACAGCACUGUGCAAACACGAAAGUGGACGUAUACGGUGUGACGCCUGCCCGGUGCCGGAAGGUUAAUUGAUGGGGUUAGCGGUAACGCGAAGCUCUUGAUCGAAGCCCCGGUAAACGGCGGCCGUAACUAUAACGGUCCUAAGGUAGCGAAAUUCCUUGUCGGGUAAGUUCCGACCUGCACGAAUGGCGUAAUGAUGGCCAGGCUGUCUCCACCCGAGACUCAGUGAAAUUGAACUCGCUGUGAAGAUGCAGUGUACCCGCGGCAAGACGGAAAGACCCCGUGAACCUUUACUAUAGCUUGACACUGAACAUUGAGCCUUGAUGUGUAGGAUAGGUGGGAGGCUUUGAAGUGUGG
This 1806-nucleotide ribosomal RNA is filed under the name Escherichia coli. RNAcentral describes it as "partial 23S ribosomal RNA". It matches the Rfam family "Bacterial large subunit ribosomal RNA", at positions 375 to 2167 of the family's 2925-position model. Lineage: Bacteria; Pseudomonadati; Pseudomonadota; Gammaproteobacteria; Enterobacterales; Enterobacteriaceae. The record is from RNAcentral.